AAAAAAAGUAACAGUGGCAGGCACUCGGAAGUCAUAGCUGGAGAGCAAAUUGUUACAACAAUAACAAUCUUUAUUAGGAUAUUACUGCGUAGGGGUGUGGUCAGUAUAUAUGCAUCUUUUCAGCUGCUUCUGCUAGUCCGUUGUCAAAUGCAUUUUUCUCUAGAGCAAGUUGAAAAGGAAUCAAUUUUGUACUUUGUAAGAAAAAUGUGCUGCUUCUGUGACACCAAGAACGUAAUUCCUUUGAGAAAUGCUAUUUGAUUAUGAGUUGAUGGACUCGAAUUUCUCCCCAACUGCACCACCUUUAUCCUUCUGGAACUGGAUGUAUCGCAAGGUGCUUGCAAAGAAGGCAUCUGCUGCAGGAUCUGCUGUUGUAUUUUCACUUUGCAUUUCAGUUG
This 395-nucleotide unclassified non-coding RNA is filed under the name Hevea brasiliensis (rubber tree). The record is from RNAcentral. Lineage: Eukaryota; Viridiplantae; Streptophyta; Magnoliopsida; Malpighiales; Euphorbiaceae.